RNAcentral lists this ribosomal RNA (308 nucleotides) under uncultured bacterium. Its description in RNAcentral is "bacterial SSU rRNA". It matches the Rfam family "Bacterial small subunit ribosomal RNA", at positions 626 to 932 of the family's 1533-position model. The record is from RNAcentral.
UUGGAAACUGGUUAACUUGAGUGCANUAGAGGUAAGUGGAACUCCAUGUGUAGCGGUGGAAUGCGUAGAUAUAUGGAAGAACACCAGUGGCGAAGGCGGCUUACUGGACUGCAACUGACGUUGAGGCUCGAAAGUGUGGGUAGCAAACAGGAUUAGAUACCCUGGUAGUCCACACCGUAAACGAUGAACACUAGGUGUUAGGAGGUUUCCGCCUCUUAGUGCCGAAGCUAACGCAUUAAGUGUUCCGCCUGGGGAGUACGACCGCAAGGUUGAAACUCAAAGGAAUUGACGGGGACCCGCACAAGCGG